This 271-nucleotide ribosomal RNA is filed under the name uncultured bacterium. RNAcentral describes it as "partial 16S ribosomal RNA". It matches the Rfam family "Bacterial small subunit ribosomal RNA", at positions 524 to 794 of the family's 1533-position model. The record is from RNAcentral.
UACGAAGGGGGCUAGCGUUGCUCGGAUUUACUGGGCGUAAAGGGCGCGUAGGCGGUUCGUUAAGUCAGAUGUGAAAGCCCUGGGCUCAACCUGGGAACGGCAUUUGAAACUGGCGGACUAGAGUUUAGUAGAGGGGAGUGGAAUUUCAGGUGUAGCGGUGAAAUGCGUAGAUAUCUGAAGGAACACCAGUGGCGAAGGCGACUCCCUGGACUAGAACUGACGCUGAGGUACGAAAGCGUGGGUAGCAAACAGGAUUAGAUACCCCUGUAGU